UAAGUGGUGAUGGCGGUAGUGGUGGUGGUGGUGAUAGUAGUCAUAGCUAACACCAUCGAACGCUUCCUGUGGACCACCCACCGGCCCAAGAGAUGCACUUGUGAGGAUCGCCCUCCCAUGGAUCUGGCUUCUGUCUUCUCAGCUCUACAGGUUCAGAUUUCAUAGACUGUAUUAGGAUUGCCAGCCGCGCAGCGCUGACCUUCUGUCAGCAGGUCCUCGCCUUUGCUGAGUUUAGAUUUGGAGAAAUGUUGCCAUCUAGUGCCCCACAGGAGUCUUAACUCUUUCAGCCAACACACCAGUCUCCCUCUGCCUGUUUCCACGCCCCCGCCGCUGCCCCCAGACAAGAGGUCAGGCACACCACCGGCUGGUGCCAGUGAGCACUGCCCCUUUACCCACAGUAGGCACCACAUAAAUGUGUCCAGAAAUUUUUUUAAAUCCCUUUUCUCUUUACAAAAUGUACAAAGAGAAAGAGCUAGAUGGAGGCAAAGAAAUAGCCAUAGAAUUAAGACUUAGUAAUGACUAACACAUACUGUGUGUAGCAUACUAAACUCAGUGAGGAGUGGGGAAAAGAAGGAGAAUUCUAGACACAAGAGUGAAAUAAGCGAAGGGAGUCAUUGGUGUGGCCUUCACUGGCACUUUGGGUCACCGCCUUUCUGAACCUCUCACACCCCUCCAGGCCCACCAAGCUGUAAAGCUUCCCACCCUUGCCCACCUAAAGGCCCCGUCUGUUCCCUCGUGGCCGUCCCUUUGCUUCGGGCAGCUACAGCCGGCUACAUCCGUCAGCUCCUGAGCGCUCUGUUCGCGACGCUCCCCUGUCAGGUAGAAGAGGCGUCCUUCUCAUGAAACCAUUAAGUGACUUAAUGAUUAGCUCUUCCAUAGAGUGGCAAGUGGCAAGCCAGGCCAGGCUGGUGGCAGAGAAGCUUCGAAGAGGAAGCAUUCUACAGCAUCUCUCAAACCCCAGGCCGGCUCACCCUGCAACCAAGGGCUUGUCUUUCAUGGCACGCGUAUCUUGAUCUGGAUUUCCACAUCCACUUGUUUGUUUAAUGCCAGCCGCGUCUGCUAGCCUCUCAGCUCCGCAGGGGCGGGGACAGGUCUGUUUUGUUCGCUGCUAAAUGCCCCGUGCUGAGCACAGUGCCUGGUACCCAGGAGCAUCUGAAAAAUGCUGGAGAGAAAAACCACAGUGUGUCAUUAGUGAUCUCCGGUGUAGCGGGUGGAGACAGGAGUGUGGCACACGACACCGGCACUGUCAGGUCACCAGGGACGUGAGACUCCGUCCAGUCUCAUGAUUCUCAAACUGUCUGACCCCAGAGCCCUCUCUGCACUUGAAAUCUUCAGCGGGGGCCCCCUCCCCUGUCUGAAGAGAACCCCUUUCAGGAUGUCCUCGCCCCCUUCCACUGGGCCCCACCAGGUUUUGAAAAGGCUCCAGGCAGCACGGUUCAAGAACAGCUGAUCUAACGCCUUCAUUUUGCAGAGAAAGAAACCCUUGGAAAGCAGAGAAAUGUGGCAAGGUGACAAAGGUAAGAGACAGCGGACAAGAACCGUGUAUGUCGCAGAAGGACGUUGCUCUGUCGUGCUUUCCCAUCACAGCUCUUCCCUGUCAUUUGAGAACGCCGGUCAAGAUUUGUUCUCCCUCAUCCAGGAAUCCACUGCGAGAAACAUCCAGCAUGGCCUGGAAACAAAAGAGGCCUGCAGAGGAUGUCAGGGGCUCGUGGAGGAGACGAAUUGUGGCCGGAGAGUUUGGGACCUUACUCACUAUGGCGGGAUGUCAUACAUGGAAAUUGUCAGUCUUGGAAGUGAAGUCUUUUCUAUGACAACAAAGCUCCAGGAAUUAUGGGUAACAGAGAAACGUGUUGAACCUACCAUGAGCAUGAUCAGCAAGAUCCAGAGUGUUGAAAAUUCCACAAGACAAAUAGCCCAGUUUCUUCACUAAAGAAAUGGCAAGGAAAAUAAAGAAAGCAAAGAAGCCUACAGAUUAGAAGGGACAAGAGAUAUUUCAACUGAAUGCAAUGCAUGGAUCUUCUUUGGAUCCUGAUUUGAGCAAACCAACAAUAAAAAGAAAUUGUGAGAGAAUAAGGAAA
Molecule: non-coding RNA, 2078 nt
Organism: Equus caballus (horse)
Lineage: Eukaryota; Metazoa; Chordata; Mammalia; Perissodactyla; Equidae
Source: RefSeq, a predicted model, not a curated record